Molecule: unclassified non-coding RNA, 209 nt
Filed under: soil metagenome
Description: partial contains 5.8S ribosomal RNA, internal transcribed spacer 2, and large subunit ribosomal RNA
Source: RNAcentral
AACAUCGCGCACCUGCGGGAACCUGCGGAAGGAUCAUUACCGAGUUAUACAACUCAUCAACCCUGUGAACAUACCUAAAACGUUGCCUCGGCGGGAACAGACGGCCCCGUAACACGGGCCGCCCCCGCCAGAGGACCCCCUAACUCUGUUUCUAUAAUGUCUUUUCUGAGUAAACAAGCAAAUAAAUCAAAACUUUCAACAAUGGAUCU